AAGAGCCCCGCGACAGACACAGAGCAGAGCCGGACUCCCAGACAGAAGCCCCCGGUCUCCAGUGCCGGGCCACGACCCAACAUGGCCGGUGAUUUGCGCACUCAGCUGGAGACACGUUGGGCUUCCUUUCCGGGGGAACGAGCUCUGACGUCUCCGGCUAAAGCCCACUGGAGAUGCAGACCCGCUAGUGCCACGGCCCCGUCUGUCUUCCCCCUGACCUCCUGCACCGGCGAAGUCACCACCUCCCAGGUCACCUUCGGCUGCCUGGCCAAAGGCUACUUCCCCGAGCCGGUCACCGUGACAUGGGACCCCAACGUCGGCUCCUCGGGCGUGAGGACCUAUCCCUCCGUGCUGCAACCUUCCAGCGGCCUCUACUCGCUCAGCAGCCAGGUCACCGUCCCGGCCAGCAGCUGGGAGUCUAACACCUAUCGAUGCACCGUACAGCACCAGCCCACCAGCUCCAGCAUCUCCAAGGAAAUCCCAAGUAGGAAAGAGCCCCCCAAACCCCCCAAGCUGGAAGUCUUCUAUUCCUGCACCGACUCAGGCGCCAUCCAGGCCGUGUGCUUGAUCUCCCACUUCAACAGUGCGGAUUUGACAGUGAAAUGGAUAGUGAAUUCCCGGACAAUAGAGGGUACCAUUGACCCUCCCACAAAGGACGCCGACGGCCAGACUUUCAGCACCCGCAGCAGUUUCACUCUGACCGAGUGGACGGAUGUCUCUCCCCUCGUCUGCGAGGUGUCCCAGUCGGGCGGCACCCCAAUGCAGGCCCAUGCCCUGAAGUGCAAAGAAAAAACAACGUCUCCCAGCAACAUCCAGGUCUUCCUGGUGCCCCCGUCUCCCACUGCCCUGUACGUGGCCCAGAGCCCCAUGCUCACCUGCCUGGUGGUCAACCUGCCUAGCGACUCCGGCCUCCAGGUGGUCUGGUCCCGGGAGAAGCCAGAGUCUGUUGUCCCUGAACCGCUGAACCUCAAUGAGCAGCUCAACAGCACCUUCACCGCCUCCAGCUCCAUGCCCAUCUUCACCCACGACUGGGAGGCUGGAGAGACCUUCACCUGCAAAGUGGAGCACUCGGGGCUGCCCUCACCCCUCAUCAAAUCGAUCUCCAAGAAGCCAGGCAGGAGCUCUGGCCCUGGCAUCUACCUCCUGCGCCCUCACAACGAUGAGCUGAGCAGCUCCGAAGACUCCAUCAGCCUCACCUGCCUGGUGCAGGGCUUCUUCCCCGAGGACAUCUCGGUGCAGUGGAUGAAGAACCACAAACCCAACGAGAGCUUGGAAUACAGCACCACCCAGCCCAUCAAGGACGGAGCCGGCGACUCAAACUUCUUCCUCUACAGCAAGCUGAAAAUCAGCAAGGCCAGCUGGAACACUGGGGACACCUACACCUGCAUGGUUAUCCACGAAGCCCUCUCACUGAAGUUCACCCAACGCAGCAUCAGCAAAGUCUCUGAGGUGAUCGUGUCAGGUGAGUUUUGCAGCGAGGACGGAGACGAGGAGCUGGACGGCCUCUGGUCCACCAUCUCGGUCUUCAUCACCCUCUUCCUCCUGAGCGUGUGCUACAGCGCCACCAUGACCCUGUUCAAGGUGAAGUGGCUUUUCUCUGCCAUGGUGCAGCUGAAGCAGACGAGUGGCCCCGAGUACAAGAACGUGAUCCAGCGCGUGGUGUAGGGGCCACUGCCCUCAUCCGCCUGGAGACAAGGGACUGGGACUCCCAGCUCCAUUGGUGACACUGCCCUGAGUCCCACACUGCCCCCCGCUAGCACUGUGCCCCUGGGAGAGCCCCCAGGGGGGAGACAGGACCUCACCCCACAUGGCCUAAUCAGCCCUCAGCCACUGGGGACGCUGCCCUGCUCAGAGCUUGGCUGAGACCGGACAACUCGUAUCAUGCAGGGAACCAGCGCCCCUAGCGAGGAAACAACCCCUCUCCCCCUUCCCACCCUCCUGAGCCCAACAGUCCCUGCUCUGGGCUGGAUCAG
This is a non-coding RNA of Mauremys reevesii (Reeves's turtle), 1973 nucleotides long. Lineage: Eukaryota; Metazoa; Chordata; Testudines; Geoemydidae. The record is from the annotation of a RefSeq genome assembly.